Molecule: ribosomal RNA, 253 nt
Filed under: uncultured bacterium
Lineage: Bacteria
Description: partial 16S ribosomal RNA
Rfam family: Bacterial small subunit ribosomal RNA
Source: RNAcentral
UACGGAGGGUGCGAGCGUUGUCCGGAAUCACUGGGCGUAAAGGGCGCGUAGGCGGCUUCUCUAGCGUGUGGUGAAAGUCCGGGGCUCAACCCCGGGCGUGCAGUGGAUACGGGCUGGCUGGAGGCAGGCAGGGGAGAACGGAAUUCCUGGUGUAGCGGUGAAAUGCGCAGAUAUCAGGAGGAACACCGGUGGCGAAGGCGGUUCUCUGGGCCUGUACUGACGCUGAGGAGCGAAAGCGUGGGGAGCGAACAGG